GCCUACCAUGGUGGUAACGGGUAACGGGGUGUUAGGGCACGACACCGGAGAGGGAGCCUGAGAAACGGCUACCACACCCAAGGAUGGCAGCAGGCGCGCAAAUUACCCAAUCCCGACACGGGGAGGUAGUGACAAUAAAUAACAAUACGGGGUUCUUUAGGAUCUCGUAAUUGGAAUGAGUACAAUUUAAAUCUCUUAACGAGGAACAAUUGGAGGGCAAGUCUGGUGCCAGCAGCCGCGGUAAUUCCAGCUCCAAUAGCGUAUAUUAAAGUUGUUGCAGUUAAAAAGCUCGUAGUUGAAUUUCGGGGUCAGUAGGUUGGUCGUGCCACCGGUACGUACUGGUCUCACUGAUUCCUCCUUCCUGAUGAGCUGUAAUGCCAUUAAUUUGGUGUUGCAGGGAAUCUGGACUGUUACUUUGAAAAAAUUAGAGUGUUUAAAGCAGGCUAACGCUUGAAUACAUUAGCAUGGAAUAAUGAAAUAGGACGUUCGAUCCUAUUUUGUUGGUUUCUAGGAUUGACGUAAUGAUUAAUAGGGAUAGUUGGGGGCAUUAGUAUUCAAUUGUCAGAGGUGAAAUUCUUGGAUUUAUUGAAGACUAACUACUGCGAAAGCAUUUGCCAAGGAUGUUUUCAUUAAUCAAGAACGAAAGUUAGGGGAUCGAAGACGAUCAGAUACCGUCGUAGUCUUAACCAUAAACUAUGCCGACUAGGGAUCGGAUGAUGUUAAUUUUUUAAUGACUCAUUCGGCGCCUUACG
Molecule: ribosomal RNA, 752 nt
Filed under: uncultured Glomus
Lineage: Eukaryota; Fungi; Glomeromycota; Glomeromycetes; Glomerales; Glomeraceae
Description: SSU rRNA
Rfam family: Eukaryotic small subunit ribosomal RNA
Source: RNAcentral